Molecule: ribosomal RNA, 376 nt
Filed under: uncultured bacterium
Lineage: Bacteria
Description: bacterial SSU rRNA
Rfam family: Bacterial small subunit ribosomal RNA
Source: RNAcentral
AACGUAGGUGGCAAGCGUUAUCCGGAUUCACUGGGCGUAAAGCGAGUGCAGGUGGUUGUGUAAGUUGGAUGUGAAAUUUCCAGGCCUAACCUGGAAGGGUCAUUCAAUACUGCGCGACUUGAGGGCAGAAGAGGGGGGUGGAAUUGCCGGUGUAGUGGUGAAAUGCGUAGAUAUCGGCAGGAACACCUGUGGCGAAAGCGGCCCCCUGGUCUGCUCCUGACACUCAGACUCGAAAGCUAGGGUAGCGAACGGGAUUAGAAACCCCGGUAGUCCUAGCCGUAAACGAUGGAUGCUAGGUGUGGGUGGUAUUGACCCCAUCCGUGCCGAAGCCAACGCGUUAAGCAUCCCGCCUGGGGACUACGGCCGCAAGGUUAAA